This 313-nucleotide ribosomal RNA is filed under the name uncultured bacterium. RNAcentral describes it as "bacterial SSU rRNA". It matches the Rfam family "Bacterial small subunit ribosomal RNA", at positions 28 to 334 of the family's 1533-position model. The record is from RNAcentral.
GAUGAACGCUGGCGGCGUGCUUAACACAUGCAAGUCGAACGGACCUAUGUUGAAACCUAGUGAUAUAUAAGUUAGUGGCGGACGGGUGAGUAACGCGUGGAUAACCUGCCAUAUACAGGGGGAUAACACUUAGAAAUAGGUGCUAAUACCGCAUAAGCGCACAGUUUCGCAUGAAGCAGUGUGAAAAACUCCGGUGGUAUAUGAUGGAUCCGCGUCUGAUUAGCUUGUUGGCGGGGUAACGGCCCACCAAGGCGACGAUCAGUAGCCGGCCUGAGAGGGUGAACGGCCACAUUGGGACUGAGACACGGCCCAA